RNAcentral lists this ribosomal RNA (253 nucleotides) under uncultured bacterium. RNAcentral describes it as "partial 16S ribosomal RNA". It matches the Rfam family "Bacterial small subunit ribosomal RNA", at positions 524 to 776 of the family's 1533-position model. The record is from RNAcentral.
UACGAAGGGGGCUAGCGUUGUUCGGAAUUACUGGGCGUAAAGCGUGCGUAGGUGGUUCGUUAAGUCUGAUGUGAAAGCCCUGGGCUCAACCUGGGAAUGGCAUUGGAAACUGGCGACCUAGAGUGCGGUAGAGGGCAGUGGAAUUCCCGGUGUAGCAGUGAAAUGCGUAGAGAUCGGGAGGAACAUCUGUGGCGAAGGCAGCUCUCUGGGACGGUACUGACGCUGAGACGCGAAAGCGUGGGGAGCGAACAGG